UGUAAAGGCUGAACCCACGGAUAAGAUCCCUCAAAUAACAGGUCCAAAAGAAGCCCAAACUGAAGCUUCAACAGAUACCCCAGCCUUUAUAACCAGCCUGCCCGGUAGUCCCAGCACCCCCAGUGAUGCUCCUGGUGUCACUGAAGUUGUACAGGAGUUGGAGCUUCCCAACCUUGUACCGGAGCAGCCAGUGGAGAUGGUGGUGGAUUUCAGCAUCACCCUGAUGAGGCCAGGGUACAGUGAACUCCUGAAUGACCCCGAUGACCUUGAAUACAAUGACCUUACACGCAAACUGCAGGACCAGGUAUGCUAUAUAGAGAGUUUGAUAGGAUCAGUUUGUUAAUCACAGGAAGCU
This 355-nucleotide long non-coding RNA is filed under the name Scleropages formosus (Asian bonytongue). Its description in RNAcentral is "lncRNA (ENSSFOG00015031977.1)". Lineage: Eukaryota; Metazoa; Chordata; Actinopteri; Osteoglossiformes; Osteoglossidae. The record is from RNAcentral.